This 253-nucleotide ribosomal RNA is filed under the name uncultured bacterium. Its description in RNAcentral is "partial 16S ribosomal RNA". It matches the Rfam family "Bacterial small subunit ribosomal RNA", at positions 524 to 776 of the family's 1533-position model. The record is from RNAcentral.
UACAGAGGGUGCAAGCGUUAAUCGGAAUUACUGGGCGUAAAGCGCACGUAGGUGGUAUUUUAAGUUGGGUGUGAAAUCCCCGGGCUCAACCUGGGAACUGCAUCCAAGACUGUGAUACUAGAGUAUGGUAGAGGGAAGUGGAAUUUCGAGUGUAGCGGUGAAAUGCGUAGAUAUUCGAAGGAACACCAGUGGCGAAGGCGGCUUCCUGGACUAAUACUGACACUGAGGUGCGAAAGCGUGGGUAGCGAACAGG